CGCCCUCCUUUCUCUUCAUCCUCUUUCUUUCUUUCUCAUCUCCUCUUUCUUUCUCUUCAUCUCCUUUCUUCAUUAAGCCAUCACAUCAGAUCAAGCCCCACCGUCACAAGCAAGCAACGAAUGAACGAGACGCGCCGCCACCAUCCUUUUCAAGAAUUUCGGUUUUCAUGGUCAAAUUCGACCAUGAAAACUCCAGAUCGAAUUUGACCAUAUAUUCCCAUGAGGAAGAAAUAUUAGGAAAGAAAACCCAAAGAAGAUACAACUAGUUCAGAUGAUGAAGAUUAUGCGUAAGAAUCAUAAAUUUGUUGUUAUUCAUUGUUAUUUUUAUGUUAUAUGAAUUUUGAUUUUGCACUAAAAACCCUAAAUAUCUAAAACAUAACUCUUUCUCAAUUAUUUGGAAAGAAAAAGAAGGAAGAAGUAAAAAGUCCAAUUGUUGAUCCAAAAAUUUUAAAGGACUUGGAAAGAGAAGUUCAAACUGAGGAUGAAAAAAGUACAAAUGACAAAGAAAAUGAACGACGUUCAAAUCCUUCUGAACAAACAAAAGAAAUUUCUGAGCAACAAACUUUUGGAACUUGUAACACUAAAACUGUAGAAAUUUCGGACCCCCUUAAUGAAAAAGGAGAAAAUGAUGCUGGACAGCCUAGUGUUGAUCAACCUUCUGUUGAAACUAGGAAACAAGUGUACGCAUUUUAUUUAAUAUUGGAUAAACUUCAUUUAUGUUUAUUUGAUAUUCAGUUUUUAAU
Chenopodium quinoa (quinoa) is the source of this 743-nucleotide long non-coding RNA. RefSeq lists it as uncharacterized. Lineage: Eukaryota; Viridiplantae; Streptophyta; Magnoliopsida; Caryophyllales; Amaranthaceae. The record is from RefSeq and is a predicted model, not a curated record. The transcript is spliced from 4 exons.